AGCGGCGGACGGGUGAGUAACGCGUGGGAACGUGCCUUUUAGUUCAGGAUAGCCACUGGAAACGGUGAGUAAUACUGGAUACGCCCUAAGGGGGAAAGAUUUAUCGCUAAAAGAUCGGCCCGCGUUGGAUUAGCUAGUUGGUGGGGUAAUGGCCUACCAAGGCGACGAUCUAUAGCUGGUCUGAGAGGAUGAUCAGCCACACUGGGACUGAGACACGGCCCAGACUCCUACGGGAGGCAGCAGUGGGGAAUAUUGGACAAUGGGGGCAACCCUGAUCCAGCCAUGCCGCGUGAGUGAAGAAGGCCCUAGGGUUGUAAAGCUCUUUCAGGUGUGAGGAUGAUGACAGUAGCACCAGAAGAAGCCCCGGCUAACUUCGUGCCAGCAGCCGCGGUAAUACGAAGGGGGCUAGCGU
RNAcentral lists this ribosomal RNA (412 nucleotides) under uncultured bacterium. RNAcentral's name for it is "bacterial SSU rRNA". It matches the Rfam family "Bacterial small subunit ribosomal RNA", at positions 94 to 541 of the family's 1533-position model. The record is from RNAcentral.